GGNCCCUCACUCUGGGAUAAGCCUGGGAAACUGGGUCUAAUACUGGAUACGACCGAUCUCCGCAUGGAGUGUUGGUGGAAAGUNUUUUGUGGUGGGGGAUGGACUCGCGGCCUAUCAGCUUGUUGGUGGGGUAAUGGCCUACCAAGGCGACGACGGGUAGCCGGCCUGAGAGGGCGACCGGCCACACUGGGACUGAGACACGGCNCCAGACUCCUACGGGAGGCAGCAGUGGGGAAUAUUGCACAAUGGGCGAAAGCCUGAUGCAGCGACGCCGCGUGAGGGAUGACGGCCUUCGGGUUGUAAACCUCUUUCACCAGGGACGAAGCUAACGUGACGGUACCUGGAGAAGAAGCACCGGCUAACUACGUGCCAGCAGCCGCGGUAAUACGUAGGGUGCGAGCGUUGUCCGGAAUUAUUGGGCGUAAAGAGCUUGUAGGCGGUCUGUCGCGUCUGCUGUGAAAGACCGGGGCUUAACUCCGGUUCUGCAGUGGGUACGGGCAGACUAAAGUGUGGUAGGGGAGACUGGAAUUCCUGGUGUAGCGGUGAAAUGCGCAGAUAUCAGGAGGAACACCGAUGGCGAAGGCAGGUCUCUGGGCCAUUACUGACGCUGAGAAGCGAAAGCAUGGGGAGCGAACAGGAUUAGAUACCCUGGUAGNUCCAUGCCGUAAACGUUGGGCGCUAGGUGUGGGACUCAUUCCACGAGUUCCGUGCCGCAGCUAACGCAUUAAGCGCCCCGCCUGGGGAGU
This 746-nucleotide ribosomal RNA is filed under the name Dermacoccus nishinomiyaensis. RNAcentral's name for it is "bacterial SSU rRNA". It matches the Rfam family "Bacterial small subunit ribosomal RNA", at positions 127 to 881 of the family's 1533-position model. The record is from RNAcentral. Lineage: Bacteria; Bacillati; Actinomycetota; Actinomycetes; Micrococcales; Dermacoccaceae.